RNAcentral lists this long non-coding RNA (829 nucleotides) under Mytilus galloprovincialis (Mediterranean mussel). Lineage: Eukaryota; Metazoa; Mollusca; Bivalvia; Mytilida; Mytilidae. The record is from RNAcentral.
UAUGAGGGGGGGCAAGGGGGUCCCAAUAACAGCAAAACAGCAAAUUGAUUUGGCUCAUAACAGAUAACAAGGAAUUAAAAUGGACAAAAACAGAUAACAGUAAAUGAAAUAUUAAAAUAAUUCGGUCUUUGACAAAUCAGUAUUUCUUAUUACGGAUAUAAUCCUUUGUAAUGCAUUCCAUUUUUUUAUGACUAUGUUUUUAGUAUUAAUUUAUGUAUCUAGAAUGUGUUUAAAUUACUACUCAAUAUAUUAUAAUAUUUUUUUAUACGCUCGUUUACGGAACGUAUUAUGGUAUACUGUUGUCCGUCUGUUGUCAACAUGUCGGACAUUAACUCAAAAACUCUUUAACCAUUUGCAUUAAACUUUGGGAAAUUGUUUAUAUCUAUUGACGUGAGCUCCCUUUUUGGUUUUUUUUUUUUAUAAAUUUUAGAUUUUAAGUUUCUGGGUAAUGGGUUUUUAUUCAAUAAAAUUGGUGUUUUUUUCAGUUUUCUGAUAAUAUCUCAAAAAUGCUUUCACAAAGCAAGGAAUUUUGGUGAAUUGUUUAUAUCUAUUAACAUGAGGUAACUUUCAAUUUUUAUAAAUUUUAGAUUUUACGUUUCCGAGUUAACGGGUUUUAUUAAUUAAAAAGGGGUGAUUUUCCAGUUUUCAGACAUUAACACAAAAAUGUUUUCAGCAGUUCUCAUGAAACGUUGGUGUAUUGUUUAUAUAUAUUGACUGAAGCUCGCUUUGUUGCUAAUAAAAAAAAAGUGACAUAAAAGAGUUUGAAUAUUCUGACUUUUUCUAAAUGACCAUUUAAUGAGGUGUGUGAAUUUUUCUUAAUAAAACUAUG